GAUGAACGCUGGCGGCGUGCCUAAUACAUGCAAGUCGAGCGAACAGACGAGGAGCUUGCUCCUCUGACGUUAGCAGCGGACGGGUGAGUCACACGUGGAUAACCUACCUAUCAGACUGGGAUAACUUCGGAAAACCGGCGCUAAUACCGGAUAAUCUCUUGAUCCGCAUGGUUCAUUAGUGAAAGACGGUUUUGCUGUCUCUUCUAGAUGGAUCCGCGCUGCAUUAGCUAGUUGGUACGGUAACGGCUUACCAAGGCAACGAUGCGUAGCCGACCUGAGAGAGGGAUCGGCCACACUGGAACGGAGACACGGUCCAGACGCCUAAGGGAGGCAGCAGUAGGGAAUCGUACGCAAUGGGCGAAAGCCUGACGGAGCAACGCCGCGUGAGUGAUGAAGGUCUUCGGAUCGUAAAACUCUGUUAUUAGGGAAGAACAAAUGUGUAAGUAACUAUGCACGUCUUGACGGUACCUAAUCAGAAAGCCACGGCUAACUACGUG
This 497-nucleotide ribosomal RNA is filed under the name uncultured bacterium. RNAcentral describes it as "partial 16S ribosomal RNA". It matches the Rfam family "Bacterial small subunit ribosomal RNA", at positions 28 to 507 of the family's 1533-position model. The record is from RNAcentral.